This 246-nucleotide ribosomal RNA is filed under the name uncultured bacterium. RNAcentral describes it as "partial 16S ribosomal RNA". It matches the Rfam family "Bacterial small subunit ribosomal RNA", at positions 527 to 772 of the family's 1533-position model. The record is from RNAcentral.
GUAGGGAGCAAGCGUUAUCCGGAUUUAUUGGGUGUAAAGGGUGCGUAGACGGGAAUGCAAGUUGGUUGUGAAAUCCCUCGGCUUAACUGAGGAACUGCAACCAAAACUACAUUUCUUGAGUGCUGGAGAGGAAAGUGGAAUUCCUAGUGUAGCGGUGAAAUGCGUAGAUAUUAGGAGGAACACCAGUGGCGAAGGCGACUUUCUGGACAGUAACUGACGUUGAGGCACGAAAGUGUGGGGAGCAAA